GUCAUCUCAUUUCUAAAUUACCUCUUGUGACAUUUGCCACGAUGAAACUGCUGUGGGCCCCUCUGUUUUCUCUUUGAAAGCCUUUGCUGAGGGAUUUGCCAUGGUGUCUGAACUCCAGAGAAUGAAAGGUUCUGAGACUGAAGAAGGCCAGGAUCUUCACAGAGGAUGACCAGAGUCUGCGUGGAGAUUUGUUAAACAAAGAGACUUCGGGAUGGAUGAAUUCACUUCAGAGACACCAAAGGAACAGCACUUGAAGGAAACAUACCUCCACGCAGCCCUGAAAAUCCUUCCAACGCCGCCUGAGCCAAGGGUACCUGAGCAGCACAGCUCCAGCCAUCAUACUGAAAAGGCCCCAGCCAACUUACAAAGCACAUUUGUCUCAGUGCCUUCCUGCUUUUCAGCUCUCCUCCCCAGUCCCUGGUCCCAGCCACUUUCUUCUGGCCCCUGGCUCCCUGUGGCUCCCCCACUGCAGGGCCUCUCCCUUGUCCCUUCCCUCUCUCUUUCCCUCCCUCUAUGCCAACUAGCCUUCUAGAUCUGUGCUGUCCAAUAUGGUAGCCACAUGUGGCUAUUGGACUCUUGAAAUGUAGCUCCUCUGAAUGGAGAUUUGCCAUCAGAUUAAAAUACACACUGGAUUUUGAAGACUUAGCAUUAAAAAAAAAUGUAAAAUAUCUCACUAACAAUUCUUAUUUUGACUACUUGUUUAAAUGUACUUUUUAAUAUAUUGGGUUAAAUAUAUUAAAAUUAGGGGUGCCUGGGUGGCACAGUUGUUAAGCGUCUGCCUUCAGCUCAGGGCGUGAUCCCAGCGUUAUGGGAUCGAGCCCCA
Molecule: long non-coding RNA, 823 nt
Organism: Ailuropoda melanoleuca (giant panda)
Lineage: Eukaryota; Metazoa; Chordata; Mammalia; Carnivora; Ursidae
Exons: 3
Source: RefSeq, a predicted model, not a curated record